Non-coding RNA from Triticum aestivum (bread wheat), 125 nucleotides. NCBI's taxonomy places the organism in Eukaryota, Viridiplantae, Streptophyta, Magnoliopsida, Poales, Poaceae. The record is from Rfam.
CAAGUACUACCUCCGUCCGGAAAUACUUGUCAAAGAAAUAGAUGUAUCUAGACAUAGUUUAAUUCUAGAUACAUCCAUUUUUAUUCAUUUCGGUGACAAGUAUUUCUGGACGGAGGGAGUAUAUG